UACGGAGGGUGCGAGCGUUGUCCGGAAUCACUGGGCGUAAAGGGCGCGUAGGCGGCCUGAUAAGUAGGGGGUGAAAUCCUGCGGCUUAACCGCAGGGCUGCCUUCUAAACUGUCAGGCUAGAGCACAGUAGAGGCAGGUGGAAUUCCCGGUGUAGCGGUGGAAUGCGUAGAUAUCGAGAGGAACACCUGCGGCGAAGGCGGGUUGCUGGGCCGACACUGACGCUGAGGCGCGAAAGCCAGGGGAGCGAACGGG
This 253-nucleotide ribosomal RNA is filed under the name uncultured bacterium. RNAcentral describes it as "partial 16S ribosomal RNA". It matches the Rfam family "Bacterial small subunit ribosomal RNA", at positions 524 to 776 of the family's 1533-position model. The record is from RNAcentral.